GACGAACGCUGGCGGCGUGCCUAAUACAUGCAAGUAGAACGCUGAAGAGAGGAGCUUGCUCUUCUUGGAUGAGUUGCGAACGGGUGAGUAACGCGUAGGUAACCUGCCUUGUAGCGGGGGAUAACUAUUGGAAACGAUAGCUAAUACCGCAUAACAAUGGAUGACACAUGUCAUUUAUUUGAAAGGGGCAAUUGCUCCACUACAAGAUGGACCUGCGUUGUAUUAGCUAGUAGGUGAGGUAAUGGCUCACCUAGGCGACGAUACAUAGCCGACCUGAGAGGGUGAUCGGCCACACUGGGACUGAGACACGGCCCAGACUCCUACGGGAGGCAGCAGUAGGGAAUCUUCGGCAAUGGGGGCAACCCUGACCGAGCAACGCCGCGUGAGUGAAGAAGGUUUUCGGAUCGUAAAGCUCUGUUGUAAGUCAAGAACGGGUGUGAGAGUGGAAAGUUCACACUGUGACGGUAGCUUACCAGAAAGGGACGGCUAACUACGUGCCAGCAGCCGCCGUAAAAC
RNAcentral lists this ribosomal RNA (516 nucleotides) under uncultured bacterium. Its description in RNAcentral is "bacterial SSU rRNA". It matches the Rfam family "Bacterial small subunit ribosomal RNA", at positions 28 to 526 of the family's 1533-position model. The record is from RNAcentral.